GACGAGGGGUCCAAGCGUUGUUCGGAAUUAUUGGGCGUAAAGCGGGUGUAGGUGGCUCUAUAAGUCAGAAGUGAAAGCCCCGGGCUUAACCCGGGAAGCGCUUUUGAUACUGCAGAGCUUGAAUGUGGGAGAGGGUAGUGGAAUUCCAGGUGUAGUGGUGAAAUACGUAGAUAUCUGGAGGAACACCGGUGGCGAAGGCGGCUACCUGGCCCAACAUUGACACUGAGACCCGAAAGCGUGGGGAUCAAACAGG
This 253-nucleotide ribosomal RNA is filed under the name uncultured bacterium. RNAcentral describes it as "partial 16S ribosomal RNA". It matches the Rfam family "Bacterial small subunit ribosomal RNA", at positions 524 to 776 of the family's 1533-position model. The record is from RNAcentral.